CAUGCAAGUCGAGCGGUAGCACAAGAGAGCUUGCUCUCUGGGUGACGAGCGGCGGACGGGUGAGUAAUGUCUGGGAAACUGCCUGAUGGAGGGGGAUAACUACUGGAAACGGUAGCUAAUACCGCAUAACGUCUUCGGACCAAAGUGGGGGACCUUCGGGCCUCACGCCAUCAGAUGUGCCCAGAUGGGAUUAGCUAGUAGGUGGGGUAAUGGCUCACCUAGGCGACGAUCCCUAGCUGGUCUGAGAGGAUGACCAGCCACACUGGAACUGAGACACGGUCCAGACUCCUACGGGAGGCAGCAGUGGGGAAUAUUGCACAAUGGGCGCAAGCCUGAUGCAGCCAUGCCGCGUGUGUGAAGAAGGCCUUCGGGUUGUAAAGCACUUUCAGCGAGGAGGAAGGGUUCAGUGUUAAUAGCACUGUGCAUUGACGUUACUCGCAGAAGAAGCACCGGCUAACUCCGUGCCAGCAGCCGCGGUAAUACGGAGGGUGCAAGCGUUAAUCGGAAUUACUGGGCGUAAAGCGCACGCAGGCGGUUUGUUAAGUCAGAUGUGAAAUCCCCGCGCUUAACGUGGGAACUGCAUUUGAAACUGGCAAGCUAGAGUCUUGUAGAGGGGGGUAGAAUUCCAGGUGUAGCGGUGAAAUGCGUAUAUAUCUUGAAGAAUACCGGUUGUGAUAGCCGCCCCCCUGGACAAACCCCUGACACCUAACAUACAAAAUCAAGCCUUUUUAAAA
This 734-nucleotide ribosomal RNA is filed under the name Serratia sp. (in: enterobacteria). Its description in RNAcentral is "bacterial SSU rRNA". It matches the Rfam family "Bacterial small subunit ribosomal RNA", at positions 54 to 774 of the family's 1533-position model. The record is from RNAcentral. Lineage: Bacteria; Pseudomonadati; Pseudomonadota; Gammaproteobacteria; Enterobacterales; Yersiniaceae.